Ostrea edulis (European flat oyster) is the source of this 1284-nucleotide long non-coding RNA. RefSeq lists it as uncharacterized. The record is from RefSeq and is a predicted model, not a curated record. The transcript is spliced from 5 exons. Lineage: Eukaryota; Metazoa; Mollusca; Bivalvia; Ostreida; Ostreidae.
ACGAAUUAAAAGGAUACCGUGUUAUGACGCUUCCUGUUAGCUCGAAUUUUUUCGCAUUUCUAUAACAGAUGCAUGUGAACGCAGCUGAUACGGCAUCUGAUCGCGUAGCAUUCAUUACAUUGCAAAUGAAUAGUAGAUUAGCAGUGAAGAGGUAAUCGAGACUUUGGUGGAACAACCAGUAUGCAGAAGCAACUAAUGAUCAUGAUAAGGUAGGACCUGGAUGACACAUGACGACUCUGCAUUCUGAUUCGUACUAGACCUGGCUCCUCCUUGUGGACAUGAAUGGCACAAUCUCCUUCAAUAUGUUCCUGGGCAUAGCUUGGGGAUAAUUUCAGCUGGUACGUGCCACAUGUCAGAGACCUCAGUUGCUCUUCAUCCAGGUUUGGAAAGUCAGUGAUAUCAUCCAUUUCCUCCCAACAAGCUGAUCGUCUUUCCAAUUUGUUUUCUUCAACAUGCUGCCGAAGGGUGUUGAUUUGCUUUGAUAAGUAAAUCAUUUUUGUACCAAGGAUCUGGUCAUCUUCAGCAUUACCAUUAGAAAUACUUUUCAAGAUUUCAUUGUGAGAUGCAUGUUUAUUUGCAAGUUAUUGGAAUUGAUUAUAAUAUACCUGUUACUGAUGGCACAAACAAUCCUAACAAAAUCUCCAAUGUACGGAACCUGGCUCGUUGGCAGGAUUUUCCCAAGUUGACAUCUGCCUGUCUCCAUGAGCCAUAAAGGAUGGCAUCUGUGCCUUGAUACCUAGUUCCUCCAAGUAAUCCAAGGAGUCUCUGAAACCACGGUCCACCACAAAUACAUCAUCCUCGCAAACCCAUCCCUGUGUUUUGGGCAGCAACGAGCUCCAGCAGGAAUUAUGACUUCUUUGGUGAUAAAGAUUCGAUGACGAAAUCCCACUGGAACCACAACUAGCUUUGGUCCUGGCCUUUUGCAGAUGCAACAUGCAGCAUGUCCUCUUGAUGUGCAAGGAAAAGGAAGAGUUACUGAUGGUGGACUGAACUGAGGUGUUAAAGUUGUAGAUGAUGUUGAUGGUGCGGAUUCACCUUGACAAUCUGUCGUGCUCGCCAUGCUAUGACCUUUGCGUUUUAUGUGACGUGCACACAUGCACCUACAUCUGUUGCAUAAGAAGUCAUCGUCACCUGGUGUUCUCCCAGAUAGUUUGGAGAUAACGACUCUGUAUUUUCUUGCAAUGCUGUAUCUGUCUUUCUGUCGUACCACGCGUGGACAAUUACAACAGUUGUAAGAUUUCUUACCAGGCAUCUGAAAUGUCAAAUAAAAUCUGUUUCAUUUUA